Molecule: long non-coding RNA, 659 nt
Organism: Numida meleagris (helmeted guineafowl)
Lineage: Eukaryota; Metazoa; Chordata; Aves; Galliformes; Numididae
Source: Ensembl
AUGGAGAAUAGGAAAGUGGGAGUACACAUCUUGUUCCUAACCUGUCUAGGAGGUGGUCAUACUACAAGAGGAUCACAGCAGGCCCAGGUCUCUGUAAGUCUCGUGUCCUGAAACUUUCCAGACAUCAAGAUCAAUGAGAGAACAAGGUUAAAAGAAGUUACAAUCUAACAGGAAGCAGCAUGUGCAGAUUUAUGUUAUCUAAUGUUCAGGAUCACCUCCAUUCCUUUGAAAACUGCCAGUAGAAGGGUGAGAGAAAUAAGCCAGGAGAUCAGAGCAAGGUGAGUAACACAUGGAGUAUGCUUUCCUCCCUAUCUGCAUACACAGGUCAUUCCUUGUGUAUUAAUUGUAAGGACAUUUGACGGCAGCCCUUCUCAGCUCUCACCCCCCUUGUAUCCCUCACACUGCCAUCCCAGUGUUUUCCACAUGCUCUCAGUACUCCUGCUGCUGCUGUUCAGGAAUCACCAAAGUUUGUAAUGUGUAGGUGUGUGUGUGUGGUUAUUAUUUUGCCAAGCUUUUCUCUGCAAAACUUGAGAUGGUAGAAAGAAACAGUGACGGUCAGAACUAAAUAUACAGUUUGCUGGAGCGGUAAGCACUUCUCCCCUGCCAGUUCCAAAGACCUACAGCAAAUAAAGGAAAUAAUGCCUUCUGUAAAUACUGCA